AAGAAUGACUAGGGGUUUCUACCGCGUACUUGGAGCUUCUAGUUAUAAUACAUGGAACAAGAUCCCUAGCAAAACUGGCCAAGAGGAUAUUAGGGUGAUCUCUAGGAGGAACUUAACUGAUCCUGGUGAACCCCAAGGCCUUAUUCUCUGUGCUGCUUCUUCCAUUUGGUUGCCUGUCUCUCGCAACGUCCUCUUUGAUUUCUCGAAAGAUGAAAACCAUCGCCAUGAGUGG
This 232-nucleotide unclassified non-coding RNA is filed under the name Hevea brasiliensis (rubber tree). The record is from RNAcentral. Lineage: Eukaryota; Viridiplantae; Streptophyta; Magnoliopsida; Malpighiales; Euphorbiaceae.